This 350-nucleotide ribosomal RNA is filed under the name uncultured bacterium. Its description in RNAcentral is "bacterial SSU rRNA". It matches the Rfam family "Bacterial small subunit ribosomal RNA", at positions 28 to 407 of the family's 1533-position model. The record is from RNAcentral.
GACGAACGCUGGCGGCGUGCCUAACACAUGCAAGUCGAACGAGACCUUCGGGUCUAGUGGCGCACGGGUGCGUAACGCGUGGGAACCUGCCUUUAGGUUCGGAAUAACUCAGAGAAAUUUGAGCUAAUACCGGAUGAUGUCUUCGGACCAAAGAUUUAUCGCCUUUAGAUGGGCCCGCGUUGGAUUAGCUAGUUGGUGGGUAAAGGCCUACCAAGGCGACGAUCCAUAGCUGGUCUGAGAGGACGAUCAGCCGACACUGGGACUGAGACACGGCCCAGACUCCUACGGAGGCAGCAGUGGGGAAUAUUGGACAAUGGGCGAAAGCCUGAUCCAGCAAUGCCGCGUGAGUG